AUGCAGGGUAUGGCCUUGUCCAUCCAGCAUUCCGAUCUUCCGGUGGUCGUGCAAACAGACUCCUCUGAAGCCAUGUCCAGCUUGACAAAUGGUGCGUUGGUUCACUUAUUAUUCGGUCAUAUAGUUCGGGAGAUCAAGGAUCUACUUGGUAAUAGGGAGUUUUUUCCACAAAAAAUUAGUAGGCUCCAAAAUAGAGUUGCCGAUCGCCUGGCGAAAUAUAGCCGGUCUGAAAGAGCUACGGCUGUGUGGCUUGGUUUGGCUCCAUCAUGUAUCAAGGACAUUUGGCCUCUCGACUGUAACUCUAUUCAUUUGCAAUAA
RNAcentral lists this ribosomal RNA (318 nucleotides) under Triticum aestivum (bread wheat). RNAcentral describes it as "partial small subunit ribosomal RNA". The record is from RNAcentral. Lineage: Eukaryota; Viridiplantae; Streptophyta; Magnoliopsida; Poales; Poaceae.